RNAcentral lists this ribosomal RNA (481 nucleotides) under uncultured bacterium. RNAcentral's name for it is "bacterial SSU rRNA". It matches the Rfam family "Bacterial small subunit ribosomal RNA", at positions 28 to 507 of the family's 1533-position model. The record is from RNAcentral.
GACGAACGCUGGCGGCGUGGAUUAGGCAUGCAAGUCGGACGGUAGGGCUUUAUCGUAAGAUAGAGUUUGAGAGUGGCGGACGGGUGAGUAACGCGUGGGUAAUCUGCCCUUGAGCGGGGGAUAACAGUCGGAAACGACUGCUAAUACCGCAUACACUACCGGAGACACAUGUACUCGGUAGCAAAGGUGGCCUCUUAACAAUGCUACCGCUUAAGGAUGAGCCCGCGUCUGAUUAGCUAGUAGGUGGGGUAAAGGCCUACCUAGGCGACGAUCAGUAGCCGGCCUGAGAGGGUGUACGGCCACACUGGAACUGAGACACGGUCCAGACUCCUACGGGAGGCAGCAGUGGGGAAUAUUGGACAAUGGGGGCAACCCUGAUCCAGCCAUGCCGCGUGAGUGAUGAAGGCCUUAGGGUUGUAAAACUCUUUUGUCCGGGAAGAUAAUGACUGUACCGGAAGAAUAAGCCCCGGCUAACUUCGUG